This 494-nucleotide ribosomal RNA is filed under the name uncultured bacterium. Its description in RNAcentral is "partial 16S ribosomal RNA". It matches the Rfam family "Bacterial small subunit ribosomal RNA", at positions 28 to 507 of the family's 1533-position model. The record is from RNAcentral.
GACGAACGCUGGCGGCGCGCUUAACACAUGCAAGUCGAACGGAAAGGCCUGCUUUCCCUUGUGGAUUGCGGGUACUCGAGUGGCGAACGGGUGAGUAACACGUGAGUGAUCUGCCCCCAACUUGGGUAUAAGCCUGGGAAACUGGGUCUAAUUCCCGAUAGGACUGCAGGGUGGUGCCUGUGGUGGAAAACGAUUUUCUAGUGGUUGGGGAUGAGCUCGCGGCCUAUCAGCUUGUUGGUGGGGUAAUGGCCUACCAAGGCGGCGACGGGUAGCCGGCCUGAGAGGGUGGACGGCCACAUUGGGACUGAGAUACGGCCCAGGCUCCUACGGGAGGCAGCAGUGGGGAAUAUUGCACAAUGGGCGGAAGCCUGAUGCAGCGACGCCGCGUGGGGGAUGACGGCCUUCGGGUUGUAAACUCCUUUCGACCGCGAGGAAGCCACCUGGUUGGAAGGGUGGUGACGGUAGUGGUAGAAGAAGCACCGGCUAACUACGUG